UACGAAAGGUGCAAGCGUUGUUCGGAAUAACUGGGCGUAAAGCGCACGUAGGCGGAAUCGUAGGUCAAUUGUGAAAGCCCCGGGCUCAACCUGGGAACUGCAGUUGAAACCGCGUUUCUUGAAUACCUGAGAGGGUGGGAGAAUUCCUGGUGGAGAAGUGAAAUUCGUAGAGAUCAGGAGGAAUACCAGAGGCGAAGGCGCCUACCUGGCAGUGUAUUGACGCUCAGGUGCGAAAGCGUGGGGAGCAAACAGGAUUAGAUACCCUGGUAGUCCACGCCGUAAACGAUGGAUACUAAGCGUUCGGAGAGUUAACCCUCUGAGUGCUGCAGUUCACACAUUAAGUAUCCCGCCUGGGGAGUACGGUCGCAAGGCUAAA
RNAcentral lists this ribosomal RNA (376 nucleotides) under uncultured bacterium. RNAcentral's name for it is "bacterial SSU rRNA". It matches the Rfam family "Bacterial small subunit ribosomal RNA", at positions 524 to 898 of the family's 1533-position model. The record is from RNAcentral.